This 4745-nucleotide long non-coding RNA is filed under the name Sus scrofa (pig). RNAcentral describes it as "lncRNA (ENSSSCG00060062361.1)". Lineage: Eukaryota; Metazoa; Chordata; Mammalia; Artiodactyla; Suidae. The record is from RNAcentral.
UGAGGAAUGACUAAAACUCCAUGCAGUUUUUCAGAUGUUAAUUAUAUAAUUUUGUGCCUCUGGAUUUAUAUGACCUCAUAGAUUAGGACUUUUCAAACGACUUAUGACAAUCAAUUCAGCAUCAUAUAAUGAUGGCCAUUUUUUUAAAAAAAUGCAAAAUGUUUUCACUACCAGUUUUUCAUUAGAUGUUCGCAAGUGUAUGAAAUAGCUAAGACAGAUACUACUCCCCCUGCCCAAGAUCUACCUUUUUUAUACACAAGAUUAUUGAAGUUCAGAAUAAUUAUGUGACUCCCUGGUCCCACAGAACAAAUAAACACUAGAUCCUGGGUGUAAUGACUCCCCAUUCUUAUUUGAUAAUUUUAUAGACUAUUAAAAGUUAGAAGUGCAGGAUAUUAUGUGUAGAGUUAAUUAAUUUAAAUUCAUAGACUAAAAGCUAUUAGCAAAGAAUCAAAUUAAACUUCCUUCUAAAUAAAAAACAAAACAAAAAAUAUUUCUGGUGGUAUGCCAGUGUCCUUAUAGAGGAAAUGAAAGCUACAAACUGGAUGUAUGAAGUCAGCUUCAUUUAGGUUUCUUUUGUGUAAUGUUUGUGAAACAUUAGUGUAGAUUGUAAUUUAGGAACCAAUGGGUUAUCCCAGACUGGAUGAGAAGUAGCUCACUUGUACUUUCAAAAAAAGCUUUAAUGAAUUUUUUAUGUAAAAUAAGGGAAACUGUGUAUUCUAAGUUUUAUUUUAAUUUUUUUUGCUAUUAUUAUUUUAGAUUUAUUUAAGAAAGAUCACACAUGCACACCAUAUGUCACAGCAAUAUCUUCUUGGAUCCACCUCCUAGAGGUGAAUGAAAAAAAUAAAUAAAUAAAUAAAUGGGACCUAAUUAAAUUUAAAAGCUUUUGCACAGCAAAGAAAACCAUAAACAAAAUGAACAGACAACCUACAGAAUGGGAGAAAAUAUUUGCAAAUGAUGCCACAGACAAGGGAAUGAUCUCCAAAAUACACAAACAGCUCAUACAGCUCAAUAUCAAAAAAAAAAAAAAACCAAACCACCCAAUCAAAAAAUGGGCAGAUGAUCUCAAGAGACAUUUUCCCAAAGAAGACAUACAGAUGGCUAAACAGCACAUGGAAAGAUGACCAACAUGGGAGUUCCCAUCGUGGCUCAGCAGUAAUGAACCCGACUAGGAUCCAUGAGGUCAUGGAUUAGAUCCCUGGCCUCACUCAGUGUGUUAAGGAUCAAGCAUUGCCAUGAGCUGCGGUGCAGGUCACAGACGCAGCUCAGAUCUGACAUUGCUGUGACUGUGGCGUAAGCGGGCAGCUGUAGCUCAGAUUCGAGCCCUAGACUGGGAACGUCCAUAUGCUGCAGGUGCAGCCCUAAAAAGCAAAAAAUAAAUUAAAAAAAAAAGACUCCCAAUAUUGCUGAUUAUUAGAGAAAUGUAAAUCAAAAUUACAGUGAGAUAUCACCUUACACCAGUCAAAAUGGCCAUCAUCAAAAAGUCUACAAACAAUAAAGGCUGGAGAGGGUAUAGAAAAAAAGGAACCCUCCUACACUGUUGGUGGGAAUGUAAAUUGGUGCAGCCACUAUGGAGAACAGUAUGGAGGCUCCUUAAAAAACUACAAAUAGAACUACCAUAUGAUCCAGAAAUCCCAAUCCUGGCAUAUAUCCAGAGAAAACCAUAAUUCAAAAAGAUACAUGCACCCCAAUGUUCACUGCAGCACUAUUACAAUAGCCAAGACAUGGAAGCAACCUAAAUGUCCAUCAACAAAGGAAUGGAUAAAGAAGAUGUGGUACACAAAGUAAUAGUCCUCAUUCAUAAAAAAAGAAUGAAAUAAUGCCAUUUGCAGCAACAUGGGUAGACCUACAGAUUAUCAUACUAAGUGAAGUCAGAAAAUCAAAUACCAUAUGAUAUCACUUAUAUGUGGAAUCUUAAAAAAUGAUACAAAUGAACUUAUUUACAAAACAGAAACAGACUCCCAGACAUAGAAAACAAAUCUAUGGUUACCAAAGGGGACGAGGCAGGGGAAGGGAGAGGGAUGGACUAGGGAUUUGGGAUAAGCACACUAUUGUAUAUGGAAUGGAUGGUUAAUGGGGACCUGCUCUAUAGCAGAGGACACUCUACUCAAUAUUCUGUGAUGACUUACAUGGGAAAAGAAUCUGAAAAAGAAUGGAUAUAUAUAUUUGCGUAACUGAAUCACUUUGCUGUACGACAGAAAUUAUCACAUUGUAAAUCAAUGAUAUACUUCAAUAAAACUUUUAAAAAUGAAAAAAAAAAAUAUGUACCCAACAUAGGAGGACCUAAAUAUAUAAAGGGAAUAUUAACCAACCUAAAGGGAGGAAUUGCAAUGUGAUCAUAGUAGGAGACUUUGACACUCUGCUUACAUCAAUGGAUAGAUCAUCCAGACAGAAAAUCAAUGAGGAACCAUCUGCCUUAAAUGAUACAUAAAUACAAGAUGUACUUAACAAAUACAUAUUGGUCAUUACAUCCAAAAAAGCAAUAGAACACACAUCCCUCUCCAGUGUACCCAGAACAGUGUCAGUCUGUGUUUGGAAUGAUUAAAAAAAAAAAAAAAAGUUUUGGAACUAAAUAGUGGUGGUUGUUGCACAACAUUAUUAAUAUACUUAAUGCCACUGAAUUGUGCACUUUAAAAUGGUUACAAGGAGUUCCCUGGUGGCCUAGUGGUUAAGGAUCUGGUGUUGUCACUGCUGUGGCUCGGGUUCGAUCUUGGGCCUGGGAAUUCCACAUGCCAUGGGUGCAGCCAAUCAAUUAAUAAUUAAUUAAAUGGUUACAAUGAAAAAAAAGAUACCAUUAAGAGAGUUAAGCCACAAACAAGUCUUUGCAAUACAGAUAGUGGGUUUGAUCCAGAAUACAUAUUUUAUAUCUUUUAAAAAUAAAUUUUAAAAGGCUGAAAACCUAACAGGAAAAAAGGGGGGGAAGAAAAUAUCUAAAUGAGCAUUUCGGAGUUCCCGUCGUGGCUCAGUGGUUAACAAAUCUGACUAGGGACCAUGAGGUUGAGGGUUGGAUCCCUGGCCUUGCUCAGUGGGUUAAGGAUCGGCAUUGCCGUGAGCUGUGGUGUAGGUUGCAGGCGCGGCUCGGAUCUGGCGUUUCCGUGGCUCUGGCAUAGGCCUGCAGCUACAGCUCUGAUUGGACCCAUAGCCUGGGAACGUGCCUUGGGAGCAGCCCUAAAAAUGGCAAAAGGACCAUAAAAAAAAAAAAAAUGAGCAUUUCAACAGACAGUAAAUGCCAAGAGACAUGAAAAUAGGGAGACUUGCUCAUCCUCUUUAGGAACCAGAGAAAUGCCGGCUGAAAAAAACAGUGAAACACCAUUAUGCACACAUCAGAACCCGGCUUCCCAGAGGCCCAGGUGAAGUUUCCAACUGAGAACAGGGAAGGUCCAAGCCCGAACAGAAAGUGGGGAAGGUAGGGGCAGGUCUCCUAUUCUAGUCCACGCAGCCACCAACCACUGUCAAUUCAUGUUGCAUUAUCAAUAACUAAUUUACAAUUUGACCAUCAUAUUUAGCCAUGAAAGGGAUUCUAGGGAUCACACAAUCCAGUCUCCUCAUUUUAGGGCAGAAACUGAGGCACUGCCUGCUGGCUGCCGUCCCCCAGAUCAUACCCACCAGUAGAGCUGGAACUAAAUCUCACACCCUUUAAUUGCCAAUUCAUUUUCCACUGUGCCCGGGGGUCUUGAUGCACAUGAACAUAAGGGGCAAAGUUUGUCACUUGCCAUUCCUCACCCUCCAAAACCUUCCUAUUACAUUAAAAAAAAAAAGGAACAAAAUCCCAAGUCUUCCAUGGCCCACAAUGAUCCAUGUAUGAUCUUGCCUAGGUCUCCGUCCACCACCCCAUGCCUCACCCCACUCCAUUUCAGCCCCUCAGCCCCUCUGCUAUUCCCGAAGGCAAGAAGUGCCCCCGCCACCCCCACUCUGUUGGGGCCUUGCAGUCCUAGAUUCCUCUGCUCCUCUGCUGUAACAUCCUCCUCCCGGCUUCCCCAUGGCCUUCUUCGUAUUCCUGCUUAUGAUUUAAAAUGCUUUUAUUUUUCUUAAAAGGUUUUCUAAAAUUAUUUUCUUCUCAGAAUUUGGAUUAAAUUAAGUAGAAAAUAACCCUUUACUGCAAAGUUGGUAAAAGAAAGUUGUUCCCCUAGGUAAUAUUUAGAAAUAGCACAGUGGGAGUUCCCAUCAUGGUGCAGUGGAAACGAAUCUGACUGGGAACUGUAAGGUUGUAGGUUCAAUCCCUGGCCUUGCUCAGUGGGUUAAGGUUGUGGUGUUGCUGUGAGAGGUGGUGUAGGUCGCAGAUACGGCUUGGAUCUUGCAUUGCUGUGGCUGUGGCGUAGGCCUCUGGCAGCUGUAGCUCCAAUUCAACCCCUAGCCUGGGAACUUCCAUAUGCUGAGGGUGCGGCCCUAAAAAGUGAAAGAAAAAAAAAAAGAAAAGAAAAGAAAUAGCAUAAUUAAAUAGAUAUUCUACUUUGUUCCUGAAAGGAAAACUUUUAAGAACAUAAAUAAUUUAUCAAUGUGCUUCUCUUUUACCUCUUUUACACUGGAGGUGCCUGGGAGUAUUUCACUGGCAGAAUGUGUAGAUGUUAUCUAAUUAUCAGAUAUUGGAACAAAUAAAGUCAUACAAGCUCUGCAGAGGUAAGCAGAUCCAGGUUUUGAGUGGCCUGAGGCUUACAUACUUUGAGGAGAAGACUCGUUUUUUUUGUUGUUGUUGUUUGUUUGUUUUUUGGUGCAAAAAUAUGAAUGUGAAAGUGCUAGGGCACUUCCAG